Molecule: ribosomal RNA, 460 nt
Filed under: uncultured bacterium
Lineage: Bacteria
Description: partial 16S ribosomal RNA
Rfam family: Bacterial small subunit ribosomal RNA
Source: RNAcentral
CCUACGGGAGGCAGCAGUGAGGAAUAUUGGUCAAUGGGCGUAAGCCUGAACCAGCCAAGUCGCGUGAGGGAUGAAGGUUCUAUGGAUCGUAAACCUCUUUUAUAAGGGAAUAAAGUGUGGGACGUGUCCUAUCUCGUAUGUACCUUAUGAAUAAGGAUCGGCUAACUCCGUGCCAGCAGCCGCGGUAAUACGGAGGAUCCGAGCGUUAUCCGGAUUUAUUGGGUUUAAAGGGUGCGUAGGCGGCCUUUUAAGUCAGCGGUGAAAGUCUGUGGCUCAACCAGAGAAUUGCCUUUGAAACUGGGGGGCUUGAGUAUGUUAGUGGCAGGCGGAAUGCGUGGUGUAGCGGUGAAAUGCUUAGAUAUCACGCAGAACCCCGAUUGCGAAGGCAGCCUGCCAGGCCAUGACUGACGCUGAUGCACGAAAGCGUGGGGAUCAAACAGGAUUAGAUACCCUGGUAGUC